RNAcentral lists this ribosomal RNA (253 nucleotides) under uncultured bacterium. RNAcentral's name for it is "partial 16S ribosomal RNA". It matches the Rfam family "Bacterial small subunit ribosomal RNA", at positions 524 to 776 of the family's 1533-position model. The record is from RNAcentral.
UACGUAGGGUGCAAGCGUUAAUCGGAAUUACUGGGCGUAAAGCGUGCGCAGGCGGUUUUGUAAGUCUGACGUGAAAUCCCCGGGCUCAACCUGGGAAUUGCGUUGGAGACUGCAAGGCUAGAAUCUGGCAGAGGGGGGUAGAAUUCCACGUGUAGCAGUGAAAUGCGUAGAGAUGUGGAGGAACACCGAUGGCAAAGGCAGCCCCCUGGGUCAAGAUUGACGCUCAUGCACGAAAGCGUGGGGAGCAAACAGG